CCUUCUAUAGCUCAGUUGGUAGAGUGGUGGACUGUAGAAAUUGUGAUGGUUAUCCAUAGGUCGCUGGUUCGAAUCCGGCUCGAAGGA
This is a non-coding RNA of Ciona savignyi (Pacific transparent sea squirt), 87 nucleotides long. Lineage: Eukaryota; Metazoa; Chordata; Ascidiacea; Phlebobranchia; Cionidae. The record is from Rfam.